Molecule: small nuclear RNA, 110 nt
Filed under: Cervus hanglu yarkandensis (Yarkand deer)
Lineage: Eukaryota; Metazoa; Chordata; Mammalia; Artiodactyla; Cervidae
Source: RNAcentral
GUGCUCCUUUCUGGCAGCGCAUAUAGUAAAACUGGAACAACAGGGAAAAAAUUAGCAUGCCCCCCCCACACAAGUAUGACAUACAAAUUUGUGAUGUCAUUUUUUCUUUU